GUAGGGGUGUCAAAAUGGGUAACC
RNAcentral lists this non-coding RNA (24 nucleotides) under Arabidopsis thaliana (thale cress). The record is from RNAcentral. Lineage: Eukaryota; Viridiplantae; Streptophyta; Magnoliopsida; Brassicales; Brassicaceae.